CAGUGAUGGCCGUGUAGUGGACUGCCAUGGCGUUGACGGGAGCGGGGGAUUAGGGUUCGAUUCCGGAGAGGGAGCCUGAGAAAUAGCUACCACUUCUACGGAGGGCAGCAGGCGCGCAAAUUGCCCAAUGUCAAAAAAAACGAUGAGGCAGCGAAAAGAAAUAGAGCCGACGGUGCCUAGUGCAUUGUCGUAUUCAAUGGGGGAUAUUUAAACCCAUCCAAAAUCGAGUAACAAUUGGAGGACAAGUCUGGUGCCAGCACCCGCGGUAAUUCCAGCUCCAAAAGCGUAUAUUAAUGCUGU
RNAcentral lists this ribosomal RNA (300 nucleotides) under Trypanosoma sp. SEMA01. RNAcentral's name for it is "SSU rRNA". It matches the Rfam family "Eukaryotic small subunit ribosomal RNA", at positions 320 to 613 of the family's 1831-position model. The record is from RNAcentral. Lineage: Eukaryota; Euglenozoa; Kinetoplastea; Trypanosomatida; Trypanosomatidae.